Ailuropoda melanoleuca (giant panda) is the source of this 391-nucleotide long non-coding RNA. RefSeq lists it as uncharacterized. Lineage: Eukaryota; Metazoa; Chordata; Mammalia; Carnivora; Ursidae. The record is from RefSeq and is a predicted model, not a curated record. The transcript is spliced from 2 exons.
GAUAAACAAAGGGGGUCUAUCCACACACUGGAAUGUCAUUCAUCCUUCACAGGGAAGGAGACUCUGAGACCUGCUACGCUGUGGAUGAUUCUGGAGGCUGCUGUGCGGGGUGAAACAAACCAGUCAGAGAGGACAGGUGCUGUGUGAUUCCAGUGAUGGAGGUCCUUGGAGAAGAGGAGGAGAGACAGAGGGGCUGGCCAUGAGCGCACAAAGGCAGAAACAGAGUGAUGCAGCCACAAGCCAAGGAACACCUGGGGCCAGAAGGUGGAAGAAGGAAGGGAGGAUUCAUCCCCUAGAGCCUUCGGAGGGAGCUCGGGCCUGCAGAUACCUUGAUUUCAGAUUUCUGACCUCCAGAAGUACGAGGCAAUAAAGUUUGGUUGCUCUAAGCCCA